This 528-nucleotide ribosomal RNA is filed under the name Triticum aestivum (bread wheat). Its description in RNAcentral is "partial small subunit ribosomal RNA". The record is from RNAcentral. Lineage: Eukaryota; Viridiplantae; Streptophyta; Magnoliopsida; Poales; Poaceae.
AUGGCCAGCUCGACGAACAAGGCUCCGGCGAGCGGUGGCGCCCGGCGCGUGCUGUUGUUCCCGCUGCCGUUCCAGGGCCACAUCAACCCGAUGCUGCAGCUCGCCGCCGUCCUGCACGCCCGGGGCCUCCGUGUCACGGUCUUCCACUCCGCCUUCAACGCCCCGGACCCCGAGCGCCGCCCCGCGGGCUACCGCUUCGUCACCGUCGGCGCCUCAGUACCGAUCGCGGACCUCGUCCCCACCGGCAGCCACGGCAACUUCGCCGAGGCGUUGCUUCGCAUCAACGAGCGUCUCGAGGCUCCUUUCGAGGACAGCCUCCGCGAGUUGCUCCUCGAGGAGGAGGGAGCGCCGGCAUGCCUGGUGGUAGACUCCAACCUCCGGGGGAUGCAGGUGGUUGCCCACCGUCUCGGCGUGCCGACGCUGGUGCUGCGCACGGGUGCCGCCGCCUGCCUCUUGGCUUACAUGGCCUUCCCGGCGCUCUGCGAUAAGGGCGUCCUCCCGCCACAAGGCCUUUUGUGUUUCUUGUGA